This 749-nucleotide small RNA is filed under the name Drosophila yakuba. RNAcentral's name for it is "GE28412". The record is from RNAcentral. Lineage: Eukaryota; Metazoa; Arthropoda; Insecta; Diptera; Drosophilidae.
ACCAUUCAGUUGAUUCCUGAAGUUCAAACUAGCAACACCUUCGGAAAUGAACUCCAAAUUCUAAGUGAUUUUCGGUUGCCUUACAAAAUUUAAAUUUCUCGGCUAGUUUUAAGAACAAAGUUUCGUUUUUUAAAAUUAUUCUUAAGCUCAAAGUGAUAUUCUUUCCACCGGAAAAGUCGUAUUAUAUCGUAAACACCAACUCAGAAACACACAGAUGACUAGACUCUUUUCUUUCUCCUGGUAAAUGGUAGCACCAUCACUGAAUACUCUUCAAUCAUGAUCUUUUUACACUUACUUAUGUUGAUUCAUACUUCCUGGACGAACUUACAUAAGCGAAAAUAAUACUAUAACACUAUAACCUAUAAUACUGAUCAACACUUAAAGCUCUCUGGACUCAACUGAAUACCAACCCCAGUUCGUGGGAUAUAUAUGGUUAUAUUAUACGUUAAUUCAUACAUCCCGGACGAACUUACAUAAGCGAAAAUAAUACUAAAACACUAUAACCUACAAUACUGAUCAACACUUAAAGCUCUCUGGACUCAACUGAAUACCAACCCCAGUUCGCGGGAUAUAUAUGGUUAUGUUAUACGUUAAUUCAUACUUCCCGGACAAACUUAAGCGAAAAUAAUACUAAAACACUAUAACCUAUAAUACUGAUCAACACUUAGAGCUCUCUCUCUCUCUCUCUACCAACCCCAGUAUAUGGAAUAUGUUAUACUAAAUAAUAUAAAAAUAAUAAAUGUACCUUU